UACAGAGGUCUCAAGCGUUGUUCGGAUUCAUUGGGCGUAAAGGGUGCGUAGGUGGCGCCGUAAGUCAGGUGUGAAAUUUCGGAGCUUAACUCCGGAACUGCCUUUGAUACUCCCGCGCUUGAGAACUGGAGGGGACAUCGGAAUUCACGGUGGAGCAGUGGAAUGCGUGGAUAUCGUGAGGAACACUAGUGGCGAAGGCGGAUGUCUGGACAGUAUCUGACGCUGAGGCACGAAGGCCAGGGGAGCGAACGGG
This 253-nucleotide ribosomal RNA is filed under the name uncultured bacterium. Its description in RNAcentral is "partial 16S ribosomal RNA". It matches the Rfam family "Bacterial small subunit ribosomal RNA", at positions 524 to 776 of the family's 1533-position model. The record is from RNAcentral.